AUGCUUCAUUGGAUUUCCUGGGACGCUUUGGCAACUCCAAAAUUUCAGGGUGGAAUGGGAUUUCAUGCUCUGCAUUUGUUCAACCUUGCGUUGUUGGGGAAACAUGGCUGGAGGCUUAUGACUAAUCCCAACUCUUUAUGUGCAAGAGUUCUAAAAGCUAGGUAUUACCUAGACACGGAUUUUCUGCAUGCAACGAUACUUCGGUCUGCUCCUACAACAUGGAAAGCUAUUGUUGCCGGGCGGGAGGCUCUGAUGGUUGGGUUAAUUAAGCGAGUGGGAAAUGGAACUUCUAUAUCCAUUUGGACCGAUAGUUGGCUUCCAGGAACAGCUACUAUGAAGCCGCUAUGCAAACUAGCUAGAACUACACUUCAAUUUGUGAGUGAGCAGAUUAACACUUACAAUUGGACAUGCAGGUGA
RNAcentral lists this ribosomal RNA (417 nucleotides) under Triticum aestivum (bread wheat). RNAcentral's name for it is "partial small subunit ribosomal RNA". Lineage: Eukaryota; Viridiplantae; Streptophyta; Magnoliopsida; Poales; Poaceae. The record is from RNAcentral.